RNAcentral lists this long non-coding RNA (1361 nucleotides) under Eucalyptus grandis. RNAcentral describes it as "long non-coding RNA (EGRA_LNC005230)". Lineage: Eukaryota; Viridiplantae; Streptophyta; Magnoliopsida; Myrtales; Myrtaceae. The record is from RNAcentral.
GCACAGCAUCAGCCUGUGUAAACACAUCAAGACGACAUUUCUGUAAGGAGCUUCACUCCGAAAUCCAUCCGCGAGCAGCAUCCCGUUGACUUGGAGGCAUAUGAACUGAUUUGGGCAUCGUCCCGCAUAAAACGCAUUAGGAGUGGUUAACACCCGUGUAAAAUGCAUCAGAGUCUUUAGGUAAUCACAUGGCCACAUCAUCAUACAAUUUAUUUCAUAUCUUUAUUGUUAAUCAAUGUGAUGCUCAUACGAUAUGCAACGACCUUUGUCAUAUGCCAUCAUGUCAUACGUGUGCCUCAUAUUAUUUCACAUAAAUGCACCAUUCAAUUCACAAGUCCAAUGGCAUAUAGGGCAUUCAUUAAAGCAUAAUAAAGUCAUCAUAAUAUGUCAAAAUCAUUUAUCACGUGUCAUUAUAAACCAUCAAAUAACUCAUCUUUUAAUUAAUAUAACAUACCAUAGUGCCAUAAUGUAUUUUAGUAACAUGCUUAGUCACAACAUCACUUCAUAUAACAUACAUCACUACAUACUAGUAUAUCAUCAUAUUAUGGCAUAUUAUAACAACAUAUCAUACUUCAUUUAACAUGACCUGAUAUCGUCCUAAACAUGAUUACUUAUUAGUAAAAACUUAACCUGUCAUCCAAAAUUUGAUAACUUAUUAUUUAAGCUCGAUAACCUAUCGUCAUACACAUGAUAGCUUAUCGUCAAAUUCUUGAUAGCUAAUCAUCUAGAGCUCAAUAACUUAUCGCUCUAAACUCGAUAACUUAUCCUUUAAAGCUCGAUAACCUAUCACCUAAAUCUCGAUAACUUAUCAAGACCACUUAUCGAAAUGCAAUGAUCACUUAUCACAUGACACUUACUUAUCACAUUAAUAAAACACCAUUUAGCCAUAUUCAAGCCCUAAAUUACUUUCUAAGUGCAACAAUAACCCUGAUCAAGGGCUAGAAAGCCACUCACACCCAAAUCCUAACUUCAACAAGCACUGAGGGAGGAGUGGCAAGAUCGGACAACGGCUGUGGGCUGCUGUUCACGCUUGUACAGCACACGUAGGAGGCCGGACGGUGGCUAGACGGCGGUAUGCCGAUCAACAAGUGGCAAGUCGGCGGCGGCACGGCCUCCAGGCCUCACUAGGGACCAAACCGUGGAGGAAACAAGGGAGAGAGUGUUGCUGUGAGCAUUGGAAAGCGGCCUCCUCAGCUUCAAAGCUUGGCUACAGCAAUGGAAACGGAGUGCGGAGGGGCGGUUUGGCGUUAGGGUGUGAAGGACGGUUAUCGGUGAGGGGAAAACAAGAGGAAAAUGCGAGAAAAAGCUUGAAAUGGAGAUGAAAAUGGAGACGGUGGUUUCGACUAAGGCUAAGAAGAGAG